This 13878-nucleotide long non-coding RNA is filed under the name Selaginella moellendorffii. RNAcentral describes it as "long non-coding RNA (SMOE_LNC002265)". The record is from RNAcentral. Lineage: Eukaryota; Viridiplantae; Streptophyta; Lycopodiopsida; Selaginellales; Selaginellaceae.
GUUUGGCAGCGUCGCGGUGCUGAGCGUGGAGCAAUUCGAGGAGCUCGCGGGAGCUCUCGAGGCAUCGAAGAAGCCAUUCUUGUGGGUGAUUCGACCUGAGCUGGUGGUGGGUGGUCACUCGAACGAAUCUUACAAUGGGUUUUGCGAGAGGACCAAGAACCAGGGAUUCAUCGUUUCCUGGGCGCCACAGCUGAGAGUUCUCGCCCAUCCCUCCAUGGGAGCGUUUCUCACGCACUGCGGAUGGAAUUCCGUCCAGGAGAGCAUCGCUAAUGGCAUUCCAAUGCUGGGGUGGCCUUACGGGGGCGAGCAAAGCACCAACUGUAAGUUCAUAGUGGAGGACUGGAAGAUCGGGGUUAGAUUCUCCAAGACUGGUGCAGGGAUUGAUCGAGCGAGGAGAGAUUGAGGCCGGCAUAAAAAAGGUGAUGGAUAGCGAGGAGGGGAAGAAGAUGAAGAAGAGAGUGGAGAACUUGAAGAUCCUUGCGAGGAAAGCUAUGGACAAAGAGAAUAGGAAGUCGUUUCGUGGCCUCCAGGGAUGGCUGGAAGAUCUCAAAGCUAUGACUGGAACAAUGAAAAGUCACACUUGCCCGAAUAAACACAACUUCUGCAAAAGCUGGUCGAUGUGUACGAUCAAAUGGAAAACAACCAACUGGCUGGACAAGAUUCUCGUGGAUAAAGUGAUGGUUCUAUGGUUAUAAGAUCCGCAUGGAUCAAUUCUCAGAGUGGGAAGAGACCUAAGAAAUCAUGAGAUCCUUGCGAAGUUCUAGCGAUUCUUCCUCCCCCAGUAGCAAGAUCCAUGUCGUGGUCGUUCCCCUGCCCGAGCAAGGCCAUAUGUCCCCAAUGAUCCAUCUCUGCAAGCUCAUCGCUCGAGAUCCAAGCUUCACGAUCUCCUUGGUCAAUGUGGACAGCCUCCACGACGAGUUCGUCAAGCACUGGGUGGCGCCGGCGGGGCUGGAAGAUCUGCGCCUCCAUUCCAUCCCAUACUCGUGGCAGCUCCCGCUAGGAGCCGAUGCCCACGCGCAGAGAAAUCUGGCGGAAUGGUUCACGGCAUCCGCGCGAGAGCUCCCAGGCGGCCUCGAGGAUUUGAUCCGCAAGCUCGGGGAGGAGGGUGAUCCGGUCAACUGCAUCAUCUCGGAUUACUUCUGCGAUUGGAGCCAGGAUGUGGCGGAUGUGUUUGGCAUCCCCAGGAUCAUUCUUUGGUCAGGAACCGCGGCAUGGACGAGCUUGGAGUACCACAUUCCAGAGCUUCUGGAGAAGGAUCACAUAUUUCCUAGCAGAGGUACGAAUCUUUGAAUUUACCAUGAACAUUAGUUCUUUUCCUCCUUCCCUUAUUCAAAUUUUGCCUGUUCUUCCCCGAUUCGUGCGCAGGGAGAGCUUCCCCGGAGGAGGUCAAUUCCGUGAUCAUCGACUACGUCCGAGGAGUCAAGCCGCUCCGCCUGGCCGAUGUGCCCGAUUACAUGCAGGGCAACGAGGUGUGGAAGGAGAUUUGCAUCAAGCGCUCCCCCGUCGUGAAGCGCGCGCGAUGGGUCCUCGUCAAUUCCUUCUACGACCUCGAGGCGCCCACCUUCGAUUUCAUGGCCAGGGAGCUCGGGCCUCGAUUCAUCCCCGCGGGGCCACUGUUCUUGCUCGACGAUUCCAGGAAGAAUGUGGUGCUUCGCCCGGAGAACGAGGAUUGCCUUGGCUGGAUGGAUGAGCAGGAGCCUGGAUCGGUGCUCUACAUCUCGNNNNNNNNNNNNNNNNNNNNNNNNNNNNNNNNNNNNNNNNNNNNNNNNNNNNNNNNNNNNNNNNNNNNNNNNNNNNNNNNNNNNNNNNNNNNNNNNNNNNCAUUCUUGUGGGUGAUUCGAUCCGAGCUCGUGGUGGGUGGACACUCAAAUGAAUCCUACGAUGGGUUUUGCGAGAGGACCAAGAACCAAGGAUUCAUCGUUUCCUGGGCGCCACAGCUGAAAGUUCUCGCCCAUCCCUCCAUGGGAGCGUUUCUCACGCACUGCGGAUGGAAUUCCAUCCAGGAGAGCAUCACACACGGGAUUCCAAUGCUGGGGUGGCCUUACGGGGCCGAGCAAAACACCAACUGUAAGUUCAUAGUGGAGGACUGGAAGAUCGGGGUUAGAUUCUCCAAGACCGCGAUGCAGGGAUUGAUCGAGCGAGGAGAGAUCGAGGACGGCAUAAGAAAGGUGAUGGAUAGCGAGGAGGGGAAGGAAAUGAAGGAGAGAGUGGAGAGCUUGAAGAUCCUUGCCAGGAAAGCCAUGGACAAAGAGCAUGGGAAAUCGUUUCGUGGCGUCCAAGCAUUCUUGGAAGAUCUCAAAGGUUUGAAGAUCCAUCGCGAGUGAGUGAAAGAUCCAUUCUUUGAAGAGAACUUUAAGAACUUUGUACCAGUUCUCAAGAUAAUUAAUGUUCCAACUUCUUUGAUCCAUACCGGUUUCUUCCUCACUGAGAUUGCGCAUAAGCAUUGGAAAGCCAGACGCAGAGCGCAGGAGGUGCCAACAUCCCUGCGGCGAUCCUGGCUGCUCGAUCCGACUCCGAGUUGAGAAAUCCGCAGGGAUUACCGCGAGGAGAUGGAAUUCCUCGCGAAUGGCCGCUACCAACUGGGGAUAUCUUUAGCGGAACCCCCUGGGAUCACCACAAUGCCCUCUGAUAGACUCUGAGCAGCGUUUUACUUGACUAGAUGCGAAAGAGCUUCGUUAGAACCUACAUGAAAACGUUUGGAACCAAUAUUAAAGUCGAUGCUUACAAACUUCAGCGCAACAUUGUUGCUCGGAAUCUUUGCGAAGUUGCAUUUGCCCAGACGAGGCAUCAUUUGCGGCCGAAGGGAAGACACCAUUAGCGCGCUGUAGUCAUGCAUUUCUUUAAGAAUCCGGGAUUAGAGAGAUGUCUUAGAGCACUUACUUAAUGUUACAUGCUCUUACCAUGUUUUUCUUCUCUCUUUUGCUCGUCCCAGCCGCCAUGCACGGAAAUAUCUAGAUUUUUCCCAACUUAAAAGAGAUCAAGAUUCAUGUGGCAGUUGUCCAGGCAUGCAAGGGAUCAUUGCCCCAAAUAUCGAUCCAAACUUUACAGUCCCUUAGCUUUUGGAAUUGUGAAACUUAAUCCCAGCGAGGGGAUAAUAAUCCUUGGAACCAUCAUCAGGAUCUUAAUCUCCAGAAAUUGGACAAAACACUAAACUACCAAGGAAUCUUCUCCAGAGACGCCUAGUAGUCUAAACAGUUUACGCACAAAUCUUUCCUUGCCAAAAAAAAAUCAUGGCUUCUACCAAGGUCCAUGUCUUGGCGGUUCCAGUGGCCGCCCAAGGCCAUAUCUCCCCAAUGAUCCAUCUCUGCAAGUUCAUCGCUCAAGAUCCAAGCUUCACAAUCUCCGUGGUCAAUAUCGACAGCCUCCACGACGAAUUCAUCAAGCACUGGGCGGCGCUGGAAGAGAUACGCCUCCAUUCCAUCCCAUUCUCGUGGAAGGUCCCGCGAGGAGUCGACGCCCACGUCGUGCGAAAUCUGGGGGACUGGUUCGCGGCAGCUGCGCGAGAGCUCCCCGGCGGCCUCGAGGAUUUGAUCCGCAAGCUCGGCGAGGAGGGCGAUCCGGUCAGCUGUAUCGUCUCGGAUUACUUCUGCGAUUGGACCCAGGAUGUGGCGGAUGUGUUUGGCAUCCCCAGGGUCAUUCUUUGGCCGGGCACCGCGGCAUGGACGAGCUUGGAGUACCACAUUCCAGAGCUUCUGGAGAAGGAUCACAUAUUUCCUAGCAGAGGUACGAAUCCCCUAUUUUGGCCAUGAACUUUCCCUGUUCUUCCCUUGGAAUUAAACGUUUCCCCUGUUCUUCCCUUGUUUUCCCUGGAAUUACCCUGUUCUUCCCUUGGAAUACCAUCGUUCUUCCCUUUAGCCCUCUUCCCUUUGGAAUUAACAUCCCCUGUUCUUCCCUUGGGCUGAUCGAUGCAUGCGCAGGGAGGGCUUCCGCGGACGAGGCCAAUUCUGUGAUCAUCGAUUACGUCCGAGGAGUCAAGCCGCUCCGCCUGGCCGAUGUGCCCACGUACCUUCAGGGCGACGAGGUGUGGAAGGAGAUUUGCAUCAAGCGCUCCCCCGUCGUGAAGCGCGCGCGCUGGGUCCUCGUCAAUUCCUUCUACGACCUAGAGGCGCCCAGUUUUGAUUUCAUGGCCAGCGAGCUCGGGCCUCGAUUCAUCCCCGCGGGACCACUGUUCUUGCUCGACAAUUCCAGGAAGAAUGUGGUGCUUCGACCCGAGAACGAGGAUUGCCUUCACUGGAUGGAUGCGCAGGAGCGUGGAUCUGUUCUCUACAUCUCAUUUGGCAGCAUCGCGGUGCUGAGCGUGGAGCAGUUCGAGGAGCUCGCGGGAGCUCUCGAGGCAUCGAAGAAGCCAUUCUUGUGGGUGAUUCGACCUGAGCUGGUGGUGGGUGGUCACUCGAACGAAUCUUACAAUGGGUUUUGCGAGAGGACCAAGAACCAGGGAUUCAUCGUUUCCUGGGCGCCACAGCUGCGAGUUCUCGCCCAUCCCUCCAUGGGAGCGUUUCUCACUCACUGCGGAUGGAAUUCCGUCCAGGAGAGCAUCGCGAAUGGCAUUCCAAUGCUGGGGUGGCCUUACGGGGGCGAGCAAAACACCAACUGUAAGUUUAUAGUGGAGGACUGGAAGAUCGGGGUUAGAUUCUCCAAGACAGUGGUGCAGGGAUUGAUCGAGCGGGGAGAGAUCGAGGCUGGCAUAAGAAAGGUGAUGGAUAGCGAGGAGGGGAAGAAGAUGAAGGAGAGAGUGGAGAACUUGAAGAUCCUUGCGAGGAAAGCUAUGGACAAAGAGAAUGGGAAGUCGUUUCGUGGCCUCCAGGGAUGGCUGGAAGAUCUCAAAGUUAUGAAGCUGGUUCGCGAGUGAGUGAACGAUGCAUUCUUUGAUAAGAAUUUUCUAUCUAUCAGUUCUAAAGAUAAACACAUGCUAGUCAAGUAAAACGCUUGUGCCUGGGAUUUGGAUAAUGUUGGAAAUGGCUGAGUAAACAAACAAAAAUUACUUAACAAAAUUGUUCAGGAAUGUUCUAUUGCUAGUGGCCGACCAUAAGUUACAAUCAAAGCGAAUGGACGUUAAUUAUAUGCUCUAUGUAACAUUUCUUGGUGAGGAAAAAAGCAGAUGCAAAAUAACUGUAAGACUUAGUUAAUUAAAACUAACAUGAAAACGUUUGGAUUUUCGAUGUUUACAACAAAAAACUCUACAAAUGCUUGAGUACAGUAUUGUUGCUCGGAAUCUUUGCUAACUUGCAUUUGCCCAGACCAGGCAUCAUUUCCAGCCAAAGAGAAGACAACGAGCGUUCUCUUGAUCGAUAAUCAUGCACUUAUUUUAGGCUGGACUUAGCCACGGCCAUUUUGUGGACAAGAGCACCACUCAUGAAUUUGAUUGCUCCAAUGUUAAAUGCUCUUACCAUAUUCUCAAAGGCUGGAAGCUUCCCAGCCGCCAGGUGUAGGGACAGAUUUUUGCCACCUUCUCAAGAUUCAUGCGGCAAGUGUCCAUAGGAUCAUUGCUUGUUCAAAUUCAGGAGCUGUAAUGGAUCCGAAGCGAGCUUGCAAUUUGGGUCAAUGUGAGUCUCGUUCUAGAGCAGAAUUGCCUCUCACAACGCUUAUGCUAAUCUUCCUUUUGUAUAAGUUUUGCAGGCCUAGGGUUCGCUCUAUCAACUUGUGUAAACAUCCGUUGCCUUCCCCGCCAAGAAAACCAUUCUAGUAAAUACCAAUGAACCCUGCCAAGGAAACCAUGGCUUCUCGCAAGGUCCAUGUCUUGGCGUUUCCAGCGCCCGCGCAAGGCCAUAUCUCCCCAAUGAUCCAUCUCUGUAAGUUCAUCGCCCAAGAUCCAAGCUUCACAAUCUCCUGGGUCAAUAUCGACAGCCUCCACGACGAGUUCGUCAAGCACUGGGUGGCGCCGGCGGGGCUGGAAGAUCUGCGCCUCCAUUCCAUCCCAUUCUCGUGGAAGCUCCCGCGAGGAGUCGAUGCCAACGUCGCAGGAAAUGUGGGAGACUGGUUCACGGCAGCCGCGCGAGAGCUCCCCGGCGGUCUCGAGGAUUUGAUCCGCAAGCUCGGCGAGGAGGGGGAUCCGGUCAGCUGUAUCGUCUCGGAUUACAUCUGCGAUUGGACCCAGGAUGUGGCGGAUGUGUUUGGGAUCCCCAGGAUCAUUCUUUGGUCGGGCAAUGCGGCAUGGACGAGCUUUGAGUACCACAUUCCAGAGCUUCUGGAGAAAGAUCACAUCUUUCCAAGCAAAGGUACGAAUCUCUGUUCUUCCCUUGUUCUUCCCUUGGAAUUAAGCGUUUCCCCUAUGCUUCCCUUGUAUUUACCCUCUUCUUCCCUUGGAAUACCAUCAAAUUUCCCCUGCUCUUCCUUUGGAAUUAAACCUCCUCUUGUUGACGCAGGGAAAGCUUCCCCGGACGAGGCCAAUUCCGUGAUCAGGGCCAGGAGGUGUUGAAGGAGAUUUGCAUCAAGCGCUCCCCCGUCGUCAAGCGCGCGCGCUGGGUCCUCGUCAAUUCCUUCUACGACCUCGAGGCGCCCACCUUCGAUUUCAUGGCCAGCGAGCUCGGGCCUCGAUUCAUCCCCGUGGGGCCACUGUUCCUGCUCGACGAUUCCAGGAAGAAUGUGGUGCUUCGACCCGAGAACGAGGAUUGCCUUCACUGGAUGGAUGCGCAGGAGCCUGGAUCGGUGCUCUACAUCUCGUUUGGCAGCGUCGCGGUGCUGAGCGUGGAGCAGUUUGAGGAGCUCGCGGGAGCUCUCGAGGCAUCGAAGAAGCCAUUCUUGUGGGUGAUUCGACCUGAGCUGGUGGUGGGUGGUCACUCGAACGAAUCUUACAAUGGGUUUUGCGAGAGGACCAAGAACCAGGGAUUCAUCGUUUCCUGGGCGCCACAGCUGAGAGUUCUCGCCCAUCCCUCCAUGGGAGCGUUUCUCACGCACUGCGGAUGGAAUUCCGUCCAGGAGAGCAUCGCUAAUGGCAUUCCAAUGCUGGGGUGGCCUUAACGGGGCGAGCAAAACACCAACUGUAAGUUCAUAGUGGAGGACUGGAAGAUCGGGGUUAGAUUCUCCAAGACAGUGGUGCAGGGAUUGAUCGAGCGAGGAGAGAUCGAGGCCAGCAUAAGAAAGGUGAUGGAUAGCGAGGAGGGGAAGAAGAUGAAGGAGAGAGUGGAGAACUUGAAGAUCCUUGUGAGGAGAGCUAUGGACAAAGAGAAUGGGAAGUCAUUUCAUGGCCUCCAGGGAUGGCUGGAAGAUCUCAAAGCUAUGAAGCUGGAUUGCGAGUGAGUGAAUGAUGCAUUCUUUGAUAAGAACUUUCUAUCUAUCAGUUCUUAAGAUAAAGACAUGCUAGUCAAGUAAACCGUUUGUGCGGGAUUUGGAUAAUGUCUGAGCAAAUAAACAAAAAUUAUUUGACAUAAUUGCUCAGGAUGCUUUAUUGCUAGUGGUUGACCAUAAGUUAUAAUCAAAGCAAUGGACAUUAUAGUCUUGUGUUCUAUGCAACAUCUCUCGGUGAGGAAAAAAGCAAAUGUAAAAGAACUGUAAGACUAAAAAAUUUUUAUUUUUACAUAAAAAUGUUUGGGAUUGUCAAAAACAAACUUUACAAAUACUUGAGUAUAGUAUUUGAAACGAACAAGAAAGCGAACUCUAGGCUAACCUCCCAACCCUUAAAGGUGUUAUGGCUUUAAAUCCCAUAGGUUAUGGAAUAUUUUUAGAAUAUUUCUAUGUUUCAUGUCAUUCUCCCAUCCCUCAUGACUCAACCACAUACAGCAGCAUUGAGAAGCUAAACGAGCCUCAUAUGAAGGGAAUUCAAGACAAUACGGCCAUAAAAAAAACAUGUGCAAACGGCAACAGAAACAUUGUGACAAGCAGCCAUAAAAGAAAGAAAGCAAUAUGGCUUUCUCACAUGACAAUACGGUUAUGAAAACAAAAGAAUGAGAAUAGAACAAACAACUCAAAUCAUAUAGCAAUACAGUGUAAGUUACAAAUUUUUCCUUUCUAAUUUGUCAACUUACCUCAUCUAUCCGACCAACACUGUUUUAACCUUAGUUAGGUUCCCUCACCAAAGUUUUCGCUUAUUGUACUAACUCCUACUUAGUCUUACUUGGUCCUAUUUGGUUUUAUCUAUUCAUUGCAUGAGCAAUAGAACAUUAGCCAUUUGUUCACAGAUUCCCAAAUUUCUCUCAAUCCCCCUCCCCGAGUUAGACUGGACUUAAGGUUCGACUACACUCCCCGCAAGUAUAAACAGCCAAACACACUAAGCUUCUAAAUUCUUAACAUCCCUUGGUACAACAAGACUUGAUCAUAGGACCUUCUAAAUCCCAAGCCUUGGGUGCAACACUUGCUUCGGGAUGUUGAGGAAAAACACUAUAGCCUAAUGGCCUAGUAUGGGUACCUCUACUCCCCCACUUCCAUCCCGAAGGGAAGACCUAAGCCCCUAAAAAGGGCGAGGAUCAAUGAUCUACAAGGUACUUAAGUGGGGCACCACUUCAUAUGAGCCAGGACCACCAUAGUCAGUUUUCCUUUCGGGAGUGAGAGUUGCUCUUGAGCAUUUCCUUGGUGGCCCAUCCGACACCACCCAAGUCCAUACCCACUCCCACCCAAGGCCCUUUGGUCCCAAUCUCAACCUCAAGUCAGUUUGGAAGCACCACUGGAAAGUUCGUUCAAGAUUGAUUUCUGGACCUCAUUAUUUCUACUAUACUUUUUUGGAACCCCCUUCCUCCUUCAUCCGCGAGAACAAGGCGAGAGCGAGCUCGACCUCGCUGUAGUUACAGUGGCCCAUGAUGAUCGCAGUCCAGGAAACCACGUCGUGGAACUCCAUCUUGUUGAAGACGAUCUUGGCAUACUCCAGGCUUCCACACUUGGAGUACAUAUCCACGAGACCGCUGGAGACGAACACAUCCCCGGAGUACUGGUUCUUGACAAUCUCGGCAUGGAUCACUGCUCCUCUUUCCAAAGUAGCCACCUUGACAAGCCUGCCACCUUCGACCACUGUCCCUUUCUCUCGAGCUGCGACCAUGGAGCAGGCCUGGAGAGCUGCCAGAUAAGUUCUCGCGUUUGGGAGAAGACCAUCUUCCUGGAUCCGCGAGAAGAGCUCGAGAGCUCCCUUGCCAUCGCCGUUCUGGACGUAACCUUUGAUCAUGGUGUUCCACGAGAUGGCAUCACGGAACUGGAUCCCAUCGAAGACCUUGCGAGCAUCCGCGACGAGGCCAAAGUGCGCGUAGCUGUCGAUCAGAGUGUUGGCCACCGACACAUCUCGAUCGUUCUUGGUGGCGACGAGAUCGCUGUGGAGGCUCAUGAGAUCCCAUCUCUCGCUGCAAGCCUUGAUCGCGAGCACGAUCACUGGCACGCACGGCCGGAUCCCACACUGGCGCAUUCUUCCAUAGGUAUCCCGCGCCUUCUCCCCCUCGAGCAGCCGCUUGGUCACGUACACGGGCUUGUCGGCUGUCCGGGACGGCGCCUUGAACCAUUUGAGCGGCGCGAGCUGUGACAGGCGCUGCGUCGCUAGGAUCGGCGAUGGCCGGAAGACCGGCAUUCGAUCGAGAGAGAGGAGACUUACCGCGAUGGCGAUGGCGGCAUUGCUCCUCCCAACAGCCCUAGUUUUAGGGAUUUGUCCCUUUCAUAUAAUUUGCCAGAGAUGGGUAUUUUGGACGAGCAAGCGUUUUACUUGACUAGAUCCAAACGAGCAGUGUUACGUCGUUAGAACUAACUUGAAAAACAUAAAGAAACAAUUUAAAAUAGAUGAUUGAAAGAAAGCUUUAGAGAUGAUAAACUAAAGCUUAAGAGGACAACUGGAACAAUGAAAAGUCGCACUUGCCCGGGAAAGGCAUUUAAAGGUUUCAUAAUAAACACAACUUCUGCAAAAGCUGGUCGAUGUGUACGAUCAAAUGGAAAACAACCAACUGGCUGGACAAGAUUCUCGUGGAUAAAGUGAUGGUUCUAUGGUUAUAAGGUCCGCAUGGAUCAAUUCUCAGAGUGGGAAGAGACCUAAGAAAUCAUGAGAUCCUUGCAAAGUUCUAGCGAUUCUUCCUCCCCCAGUAGCAAGAUCCAUGUCGUGGUCGUUCCCCUGCCCGCGCAAGGCCAUAUGUCCCCAAUGAUCCAUCUCUGCAAGCUCAUCGCUCGAGAUCCAAGCUUCACGAUCUCCUUGGUCAAUGUGGACAGCCUCCACGACGAGUUCGUCAAGCACUGGGUGGCGCCGGCGGGGCUGGAAGAUCUGCGCCUCCAUUCCAUCCCAUACUCGUGGCAGCUCCCGCUAGGAGCCGAUGCCCACGCGCUGGGAAAUGUGGGGGACUGGUUCACGGCAUCCGCGCGAGAGCUCCCAGGCGGCCUCGAGGAUUUGAUCCGCAAGCUCGGCGAGGAGGGUGAUCCGGUCAACUGCAUCAUCUCGGAUUACUUCUGCGAUUGGAGCCAGGAUGUGGCGGAUGUGUUUGGCAUCCCCAGGAUCAUUCUUUGGUCGGGAAACGCGGCAUGGACGAGCUUGGAGUACCACAUUCCAGAGCUUCUGGAGAAAGAUCACAUCUUUCCUAGCAGAGGUACGAAUCUUUGAAUUUACCAUGAACAUUAGUUCUUUCCCUCCGUCCCUUAUUCAAAUUUUGCCUGUUCUUCCCCGAUUCGUGCGCAGGGAGAGCUUCCCCGGAGGAGGCCAAUUCCGUCAUCAUUGACUACGUCCGAGGGGUGAAGCCCCUCCGCCUGGCCGAUGUGCCCGAUUACAUGCAGGGCAACGAGGUGUGGAAGGAGAUUUGCAUCAAGCGCUCCCCCGUCGUGAAGAGCGCGCGCUGGGUCCUUGUCAAUUCCUUCUACGACCUCGAGGCGCCCACCUUCGAUUUCAUGGCCAGCGAGCUCGGGCCCCGAUUCAUCCCCGCGGGGCCACUGUUCUUGCUCGACGAUUCCAGGAAGAACGUGGUGCUUCGUCCGGAGAACGAGGAUUGCCUUGGCUGGAUGGAUGAGCAGGAGCCUGGAUCGGUGCUCUACAUCUCGUUUGGCAGCAUCGCGGUGCUGAGCGUGGAGCAAUUCGAGGAGCUCGCGGGAGCUCUCGAGGCAUCGAAGAAGCCAUUCUUGUGGGUGAUUCGAUCCGAGCUCGUGGUCGGCGGACACUCCAACGAAUCUUACGAUGGGUUUUGCGAGAGGACCAAGAACCAGGGAUUCAUCGUUUCUUGGGCGCCACAGCUGCGAGUUCUCGCCCAUCCCUCCAUGGGAGCGUUUCUCACUCAUUGUGGAUGGAAUUCCAUCCAGGAGAGCAUCACACACGGGAUUCCACUGCUGGGGUGGCCUUACGCGGCCGAGCAAAACACCAACUGUACGUUCAUAGUGGAGGACUGGAAGAUCGGGGUUAGAUUCUCCAAGACCGCGAUGCAGGGAUUGAUCGAGCGAGGAGAGAUCGAGGACGGCAUAAGAAAGGUGAUGGAUAGCGAGGAGGGGAAGGAAAUGAAGGAGAGAGUGGAGAACUUGAAGAUCCUUGCCAGGAAAGCCAUGGACAAAGAGCAUGGGAAAUCGUUUCGUGGCCUCCAAGCAUUCUUGGAAGAUCUCAAAGUUUUGAAGAUCCAUCGCGAGUGAGUGAAAGUUCCAUUUUUUGAAGAGAACUUUAAGAACUUUGUACCAGUGUCCAGUUCUCAAGAUAAUUAAUGUUCCAACUUCUUUGAUCCAUGCCGGUUUCUUCCUCACUGAGAGAUGUGGCAUGAGCAUUGGAAAGCCAGACGCAGAGCGCAGGAGGUGCCAACAUCCCUGCGGCGAUCCUGGCUGCUCGAUCCGACUCCGAGUUGAGAAAUCCGCAGGAUUACCGCGAGGAGAUGGAAUUCCUCGCGAAUGGCCGCUACCAACUGGGGAUAUCUUUAGCGGAACCCCCUGGGAUCACCACAAUGCCCUCUGAUAGACUCUUAGCAUUUGCCAGAUAGGGGUAGUUGACUAGAUGCGAAAGAGCUUCGUUAGAACCUACAUGAAAACGUUUGGAACCAAUAUUAAAGUCGAUGCUUACAAACUUCAGCGCAACAUUGUUGCUCGGAAUCUUUGCGAAGUUGCAUUUGCCCAGACGAGGCAUCAUUUGCGGCCGAAGGGAAGACACCAUUAGCGCGCUGUAGUCAUGCAUUUCUUUAAGAAUCCGGGAUUAGAGAGAUGUCUUAGAGCACUUACUUAAUGUUACAUGCUCUUACCAUGUUUUUCUUCUCUCUUUUGCUCGUCCCAGCCGCCAUGCACGGAAAUAUCUAGAUUUUUCCCAACUUAAAAGAGAUCAAGAUUCAUGUGGCAGUUGUCCAGGCAUGCAAGGGAUCAUUGCCCCAAAUAUCGAUCCAAACUUUACAGUCCCUUAGCUUUUGGAAUUGUGAAACUUAAUCCCAGCGAGGGGAUAAUAAUCCUUGGAACCAUCAUCAGGAUCUUAUUGGCCAAAACACUAAACUACCAAGGAAUCUUUUCCAGAGACGCCUAGUAGUCUAAACAGUUUACGCACAAAUCUUUCCUUGCCAAAAAAAAAUCAUGGCUUCUACCAAGGUCCAUGUCUUGGCGGUUCCAGUGGCCGCCCAAGGCCAUAUCUCCCCAAUGAUCCAUCUCUGCAAGUUCAUCGCUCAAGAUCCAAGCUUCACAAUCUCCGUGGUCAAUAUCGACAGCCUCCACGACGAAUUCAUCAAGCACUGGGCGGCGCUGGAAGAUCUGCGCCUCCAUUCCAUCCCAUUCUCGUGGAAGGUCCCGCGAGGAGUCGACGCCCACGUCGUGCGAAAUCUAGGGGAGUGGUUCGCGGCAGCUGCGCGAGAGCUCCCCGGCGGCCUCGAGGAUUUGAUCCGCAAGCUCGGCGAGGAGGGCGAUCCGGUCAGCUGUAUCGUCUCGGAUUACUUCUGCGAUUGGACCCAGGAUGUGGCGGAUGUGUUUGGCAUCCCCAGGGUCAUUCUUUGGCCGGGCACCGCGGCAUGGACGAGCUUGGAGUACCACAUUCCAGAGCUUCUGGAGAAGGAUCACAUAUUUCCUAGCAGAGGUACGAAUCGCCUAUUUUGAUCAUGAACUUUCCCUGUUCUUCCCUUGGAAUUAAACGUUUUCCCUAUUCUUCCCUUGGAAUUAAACGUUUCCCCUGUUCUUCCAUUGUUUUCCCUGGAAUUACCCUGUUCUUUCCUUGGAAUACCAUCACAUUUCCCCUGUUCUUCCCUUUGGCCCUCUUCUCUUUGGAAUUAACAUCCCCUGUUCUUCCCUUGGACUGAUCGAUUCGUGCGCAGGAAGAGCUUCUGCGGACGAGGCAAAUUCUGUGAUCAUCGAUUACGUCCGAGGAGUCAAGCCGCUCCGCCUGGCCGAUGUGCCCACGUACCUUCAGGGCGACGAGGUGUGGAAGGAGAUUUCUAUCAAGCGCUCCUUCGUCGUGAAGCGCGCGCGCUGGGUCCUCGUCAAUUCCUUCUACGACCUAGAGGCGCCCAGUUUUGAUUUCAUGGCCAGCGAGCUCGGGCCUCGAUUCAUCCCCGCGGGGCCACUGUUCUUGCUCGACGAUUCCAGGAAGAAUGUGGUGCUUCGACCCGAGAACGAGGAUUGCCUUCACUGGAUGGAUGCGCAGGAGCGUGGAUCUGUUCUCUACAUCUCAUUUGGCAGCAUCGCGGUGCUGAGCGUGGAGCAAUUCGAGGAGCUCGCGGGAGCUCUCGAGGCAUCGAAGAAGCCAUUCUUGUGGGUGAUUCGACCUGAGCUGGUGGUGGGUGGUCACUCGAACGAAUCUUACAAUGGGUUUUGCGAGAGGACCAAGAACCAGGGAUUCAUCGUUUCCUGGGCGCCACAGCUGAGAGUUCUCGCCCAUCCCUCCAUGGGAGCGUUUCUCACGCACUGCGGAUGGAAUUCCAUCCAGGAGAGCAUUUCGAAUGGCAUUCCAAUGCUGGGGUGGCCUUACGGGGGCGAGCAAAACACCAACUGUAAGUUUAUAGUGGAGGACUGGAAGAUCGGGGUUAGAUUCUCCAAGACAGUGGUGCAGGGAUU